UCUCCGUAGGUGAACCUGCGGAGGGAUCAUUACAGAGUUUUUGCCCGCAAGGGUAGAUCUCCCACCCUAUGUUAUUCCUUCUCUGUUGCUUUGGCGGGCCGUCCGGCCUCGGUCAGGCCACCGGCUCCGGCUGGGGAGCGCCCGCCAGAGGACCCCAAACCCUAAAUGUCAGUGUCGUCUGAGUACUAUAUAAUAGUUAAAACUUUCAACAACGGAUCUCUUGGUUCUG
RNAcentral lists this unclassified non-coding RNA (229 nucleotides) under plant metagenome. RNAcentral describes it as "partial contains small subunit ribosomal RNA, internal transcribed spacer 1, and 5.8S ribosomal RNA". The record is from RNAcentral.